This 433-nucleotide ribosomal RNA is filed under the name uncultured bacterium. RNAcentral describes it as "partial 16S ribosomal RNA". It matches the Rfam family "Bacterial small subunit ribosomal RNA", at positions 29 to 507 of the family's 1533-position model. The record is from RNAcentral.
AACGAACGCUGGCGGCAUGCCUAACACAUGCAAGUCGAACGAGACCUUCGGGUCUAGUGGCGCACGGGUGCGUCACGCGUGGGAACCUGCCCUUAGGCUCGGAAUAACUCCUCGAAAGGGGUGCUAAUACCGGAUAAUGUCUUCGGACCAAAGAUUUAUCGCCUUUGGAUGGGCCCGCGUUGGAUUAGCUAGUUGGUAGGGUAAAAGCCUACCAAGGCGACGCUCCAUAGCUGGUCUGAGAGGAUGAUCAGCCACACUGGGACUGAGACACGGCCCAGACUCCUACGGGAGGCAGGAGUGGGGAAUAUUGCACAAUGGGCGAAGGCCUGAACCAGCAAUGCCGCGUGAGUGAUGAAGGCCUGAGGGUUGUAAAGCUCGUUUACCCGGGAUGAUAAUGACAGUACCGGGAGAAUAAGCUCCGGCUAACUCCGUG